AAAUUGGUCAACUAUGACUGUCAACAGCUGCGACAGCCAAACAUGGUUGUACACUUGGUCCGGUCUAGUAAAGUCAUAUUUGGCAAUCGCGUAAUUU
This is a long non-coding RNA of Haliotis rubra (blacklip abalone), 97 nucleotides long. RefSeq lists it as uncharacterized. The record is from RefSeq and is a predicted model, not a curated record. The transcript is spliced from 3 exons. Lineage: Eukaryota; Metazoa; Mollusca; Gastropoda; Lepetellida; Haliotidae.